This is a long non-coding RNA of Cydia splendana, 3200 nucleotides long. RefSeq lists it as uncharacterized. Lineage: Eukaryota; Metazoa; Arthropoda; Insecta; Lepidoptera; Tortricidae. The record is from RefSeq and is a predicted model, not a curated record. The transcript has 2 exons.
ACCUUAAGCUAACUAUCCACCGACUUUGGCAGAACAAAGUGUGGAAGGUCAUUACAAAUAUCAUGUUUUCAUAAAAAUUCGACGUGCAUUUGUUCACACUUGUUCACUUCAUUGCAAUUUAUAGAUGUAUAUUUAUCAUAUCCGUACUAUUUGGUCAUUCGCUUCAUUCUUCACCUAAAAUGCAAGACCUUUAAAAUACUUGGAAUAAAACUGUAGAAAAUAUAUUUGUCAAAUGUUUCAGCAUAUCGAUAUGUUUGGCACUACAUGAGAAACAUUUCUAGUCACAAUCAAUUAAAUCAAUAUAAUUAAUGUUUACAUGUACCUACCAUAAUGCAUAUAAUAACAACACACUAUUAUCAACAAAAAAAAACAGUAUUAUACCAAGAAAAGUCAAUAAAAUUAAAUUAACAUGGCUUACUGUAUACAUUACCAUACAGAAUAAACUCUCUCUUUCAACUUGAUGCUUAGGUUACACAAGUGCCAGGACGAGUGACCAAGACACGAUUCGAACAUGCUGAUCAUCUGCUUCGUAAUCGAAAAUUAAUGUAUGCAUGAGUAUGCAAAAAUCAACAACCAUAUUUAAUUACAUCUUAUAAUUUUGAUCAAAAUCUCCCUAGAAGCAAUGUAGUGACCGACCGUACAUUACGAUACAAGUGCAAAAAUAAAGGAAAUUCGCAACGAGUGGCGAUAAAUUGAAACACGACCGAAGAGAGUGUUUUAAAUCGACACGAGUUGCGGAUUACCUUUUCACAUCACCUAUUCGGAAAAGGGCUUUUUCUUCCCCGCUAGGAGGGAUCAAAGUGGCACUUUUCCUCCCUGCUAGGGGGGAUCAAAGUGGUACUUUUCUGUUAUAGGACAUAUUUUUUUCAUUUUUACAUACAACUUUUUAGCUUAAAUAGUGUUUUGAUACAUGAUAAUUUCCUCAUUUAUUUAUUUUUUUAUUUUCCUCAUAGUUGAUGUGAAAAGCAGUAUGUGUCACAAGGGAUCAAAAUGAUAUAUUUCGUCUUGGGCGUUAACACUUGAAUCCCUCAUUAUGCUCAGGAUUCUACUUUACUAUUCUAUUGUAGAAUCCAUCGCUUCAUUCAGCGUUCAAUGUACGCCCUUGACGGAAAUAUAUCAUUUUGAUCCCUUGUAACACAAACUACUAUUUCACAAGUGUAUUGUACAACGUUUUACAGUACUAUGGCCCUUUAAAUUUUUGACAUAGGCACGUAUUGUCCUUAAUCCCGCCCUAGGGCAGUAAAGUAGCACCAUAUGUACUGUAACUGUAGUUAGCAUAUUGAUGCACGGUACAGAAAAUGCAGGAAAUUAAUGAUUUGACAGUGAAAAGCUUCGUGAAGACUAGCGGUUUAAUGGUUUCGAUGAAAAGGCGGAUAUAGUUUCCACAAAGGGCGUGCGAAUCUUUGAACCCACUUCGCAUCACGACGUACGUGUAAACUUUUUAACUAAUCGUAAGGUUGCUUAGGUAUAAUUAUUUUUGUCUGUAUUUUUAAUGAUUGUCCCUCUCAACAGUGAUUGUUACUUUGCUACAAAAAAUAACUAAAUUGCAAGACCGAAGUGAUCCCAUAAGUGUUCCGUGAACAAAGUUUUGUACGGAACACUAAAAAUCAAUAAUAUUAUAUUACUCUAAAGGGCCAAUCAUUGUGUAGUUUAUCAUAUAUAAAUCAUAAUGUUCAAAUCAAAAUCACAUUGAAGUUCUGAUCUACUAAAACAUAUGAGCUCUGUGAGGCGAACCCUAGAAGAGAGUGAAGAAACCAACCAAUAGAAGGUGCAGAUAAAAAUAGGUAGGCUAAUUAUAACUAGAGCUUAGAAAAACGUGUAUAAGUACAUUAUUAACUAGGUACACAAGAACUUCAGUCCGUUUCGCAAUGUGCCGUUUUCAAGAAUAAGUUACCUUAGGUAUCUUAUUGACGGUUUGAAAUAAGACGCUACGGCUAUAUAGAUUUUUACUUUAGAAGAAAACCUUAUUGAAAGCCGACUAUGUGGUUAUUUAGCCUGAAAAUGUCACAUUCAACAAGUGCCGUAAACUCAAGCAACUUCAUUUCAACAGUCCAACUACGAUGCCCGACAUGCAUAACGUGUUUUUUUAAUAAAACAUAUAGAAUAUUUAAAUUGUAAUACUUAAUGUUACUUAUGUUAAUGAACGCUCGUGUUGUUAGCGAAAUACAGGGUUACUUUUUUACCGGUACAAUAAAUUUUACCACAUCAUUGGUAUCGAUAAUAGAUCACAUUGCACAAAUAAAAAAAUGUUUUUUUUUUAUUUCGCAUCAAUUAAUUUAUCCUUCACCAAUUUAGUAACUUCUGGUUGCACUAAUUACAAGGUGUCAACGGUAUGAGGUAAAAGGGGCGGGGCGGGGCGAGCGGCCGGCGGCGCACGAUUUGACAACUGUUGGAGACUAAGAACGCAACCUCAUUAGAUAGGUUUUAUUUUUCUGUUCUUACUGACAUGUGUUGUCACGUCACUUCUUGAUUUCCUUCAAAAAUACGUUUGUGUUAUUUGUUCCCGUUUUAUUUAACUCUCACUUAUCUUACAAAUAACCAUCAACAACAAAGCAUCCGGGAAACUGCGAAUGCAAAGUGCAACCCUUUGACCGAUAAGACAGACUAGUCCGUAAUAAAUAAUAAGUGCGUUUGACGAAAUUAAACGUGAAAAUUACUUGGAAAGAAUCGAAGCAAACGUACAAAAACGGGCACGGCUUUGUUUACAAAACCACGGACAGCAUUUUGAACAUUUACUUAAGUAUGUGAAUUAGUACGAGAAAUGGACUCCAUUAAUUAGGUAUGUAGGGUAGAUUUCAAUCAUUGUAUUCCAAUUUUUUAAAUACGCCUCAAUGAAAAAUGUUGCAGACUUACUUCGUAAUUUUAUCAGAUUUCGAGACCUUUUGUCAUACUUCACACAAAGCAACAUCUUCAUUUUGACGGUCCUAAGCCCGUGCAAGUAUGAAGGAAGAAUUGGGAUCAAGUAGUAUUUUUUUAUGUCAAUACGCCGCCGCCGCUCGCAAAAUCGCGCGCGAUGACGUAAACAAACAGUUGCCAGUUCGUGCGUUUGCUAAUUGAUGCGUAAGGCAUCCACAUUUUCUAGUACUUUAGCGGAUAAGUUCGGGCAUUGGUAUUUUUGUUUUUUUGUUCCCAAAUAGUAGUAACAAAGAAUGCUGGUAUUUUUUAUUAUUGGCAACAAUUACGUAUGUUGAUUUAUUGUA